AUACCCUAUUAUUUUUAAUGUAAAAUUUUAUACUGGAGUAUUAAUAGUUAUGUUCUUUAAACUUAAAGAAUUUGGCGGUAUUAUAGUCUAUUUAGAGGAAUCUGCUAUUUAAUCGAUAGUCCCCGUUGAACCUUACUUUUGUUAUUUCUUGUAUAUCGCUGUUUAUGAAAAUAUUUAUAGAUUAUUUUCUGGAUAAGUUAUUAAUUAGUAUUUCAAGUCAAGGUGCAGUUAUAUAAAAGUUUAAUAGUGGAUUACAAUAAGCUUUAUUUAAACGGAUUAUUAUUUAAAAUUAAUUUGAAGGUGGAUUUAAUUGUAAUUUUAUGAAGAUUAUUAAGAUGAUUAUUAGCUCUAUAAUAUGUACACAUCGCCC
This 370-nucleotide ribosomal RNA is filed under the name Elmantis nira. RNAcentral's name for it is "partial 12S ribosomal RNA". The record is from RNAcentral. Lineage: Eukaryota; Metazoa; Arthropoda; Insecta; Mantodea; Gonypetidae.